GAUGAACGCUGGCGGCGUGCCUAAUACAUGCAAGUCGAGCGAACAGACGAGGAGCUUGCUCCUCUGACGUUAGCGGCGGACGGGUGAGUAACACGUGGAUAACCUACCUAUAAGACUGGGAUAACUUCGGGAAACCGGAGCUAAUCCCGGAUAAUAUAUUGAACCGCAUGGUUCAAUAGUGAAAGACGGUUUUGCUGUCACUUAUAGAUGGAUCCGCGCCGCAUUAGCUAGUUGGUAAGGUAACGGCUUACCAAGGCAACGAUGCGUAGCCGGCCUGAGAGGGUGAUCGGCCACACUGGAACUGAGACACGGUCCAGACUCGUGCGGGAGGCAGGAGUAGGGAAUCUGCCGCAAUGGGCGAAGGCCUGACGGAGCAACGACGCGUGAAUGAUGAAGGUCUUCGGAUCGUAAAACUCUGUUAUUAGGGAAGAACAAAUGUGUAAGUAACUAUGCACGUCUUGACGAUACCUAAUCAGAAGGCCACGGCUAACUACG
RNAcentral lists this ribosomal RNA (495 nucleotides) under uncultured bacterium. RNAcentral describes it as "partial 16S ribosomal RNA". It matches the Rfam family "Bacterial small subunit ribosomal RNA", at positions 28 to 505 of the family's 1533-position model. The record is from RNAcentral.